GGUUCUAUGGUGUAAUGGUUAGCACAUCGGAUUCUGAUUCCGGGGAUUUGGGUUCAAUUCCCAAUAGAACCU
This 72-nucleotide transfer RNA is filed under the name Hyaloscypha variabilis F. RNAcentral's name for it is "Hyaloscypha variabilis (strain UAMH 11265 / GT02V1 / F) tRNA". It matches the Rfam family "tRNA". Rfam says of the family: Transfer RNA (tRNA) molecules are approximately 80 nucleotides in length. Their secondary structure includes four short double-helical elements and three loops (D, anti-codon, and T loops). The record is from Rfam by way of RNAcentral. Lineage: Eukaryota; Fungi; Ascomycota; Leotiomycetes; Helotiales; Hyaloscyphaceae.